This 506-nucleotide ribosomal RNA is filed under the name uncultured bacterium. RNAcentral's name for it is "partial 16S ribosomal RNA". It matches the Rfam family "Bacterial small subunit ribosomal RNA", at positions 30 to 523 of the family's 1533-position model. The record is from RNAcentral.
AUUGAACGCUGGCGGCAGGCCUAACACAUGCAAGUCGAACGGUAACAGGAAACAGCUUGCUGUUUCGCUGACGAGUGGCGGACGGGUGAGUAAUGUCUGGGAAACUGCCUGAUGGAGGGGGAUAACUACUGGAAACGGUAGCUAAUACCGCAUAACGUCGCAAGAGCAAAGAGGGGGAACUUCGGGCCUCUUGCCAUCAGAUGUGCCCAGAUGGGAUUAGCUAGUAGGUGGGGUAACGGCUCACCUAGGCGACGAUCCCUAGCUGGUCUGAGAGGAUGACCAGCCACACUGGAACUGAGACACGGUCCAGACUCCUACGGGAGGCAGCAGUGGGGAAUAUUGCACAGUGGGCGCAAGCCUGAUGCAGCCAUGCCUCGUGUAUGAAGAAGGCCUUCGGGUUGUAAAGUACUUUCAGCGGGGAGGAAGGUGCUGAGGUUAAUAACCUCAGCAAUUGACGUUACCCGCAGAAGAAGCACCGGCUAACUCCGUGCCAGCCGCCGCGGUAA